This 586-nucleotide long non-coding RNA is filed under the name Cyanistes caeruleus (blue tit). Its description in RNAcentral is "lncRNA (ENSCCEG00000008979.1)". The record is from RNAcentral. Lineage: Eukaryota; Metazoa; Chordata; Aves; Passeriformes; Paridae.
CAUUAAAUUGAAACAAUAGGACAAAUUCUGUUCCCAGCAAUCUUUUACAAAUGAAAAAUUAAAUGUGUGGAUUUAUUCCUGUCUUUGCAACAGGGACACGUACACAGCUUGAACAGAUGCAAAGCAAACUUUAUGCAGUUUAUCUACUUGAUUGCCCUAAUUUUUCAAAUACCUUGUACCUAGAACAAGUAAAAGUGGCUUUCCUGGAAAGCACAGUUCAAGUGCACUAGUUUGUCAUUCCGAAGGAUAACCAUCAACCUCUAUACACAGCAGUGCUAGGUAGAUCUGCACUACUUCUGAAGAGACAUUCUGUGGCCUAGAUGUAAAUGUACAAAAGGAAAAUACCCAAACCCUGCUAAUGGUCCAUUCAGCCCACACUGCUAUGGAAUAUUUCACACAUUAAUGAAAUAUGCUCCUGCCUCUGAGCCAAUGCCAGCACGGAAGAGCAAUGCCUUCUAGGAUGUUCAUACCUAGUGUGGUUCAUAUCCCUGCAAGGACCUUGAGACUGGGAGAAGAUAACAAGAACAAGGAUUGUUCCUGGGGCUUUAAAAUAAGUAGGAUUACAAAUGUUGGUCAUUUUUGGUGA